CAUUACCUUCAGUAAGUAUGAAAACAAUACAAAAACAAAGCCCAAACCUGGUCAUUUUAAGCAAUUUAGAAAUCCCACUCAGGACUUGUCAUUACAUUUUCUGCUGUUUAGAUGUUUAUUGCAUUAUUGUAGUGUCAUGUAUGUUACCCUGGUGUUUUUCCUUGUCUCUGCAGUGACACAAGAAUUAGCCAUGUUUUAUGGAGAAGUGAACUCUGAUUCAUCAUGUGACUUUAUAUUUUACCACUUGUGUUCACAUGUUCGCCUGCCCAUUCAACCCUGCCAGGUAAUGGAAAACGAGCUUGGCUUGCUGUCAGUGAAGGAGGCUCGAACCCGAGGCUCAGCUCCGAUGCAUAAGUUCGAGUGAGAACAGACCAGGAAAGUCAAACACAGAUACCCAGGCAGCUCCAUUUUAGGAAAAACACCCAAUGCAACAUUGUGUCUGUGAACAGCAGUGCUAAUGGGCUGGUAUACAUUUGACUUGGUCUGCUCUCAAAUGGUAAUCUUCUCUGAAAUAGAGGAAAAAUUCAUUUACACACUCCUACUGCUGAUACACUUCACCAACGGCUCUCUGCUGACCGAACGCAGGGAAAGUUCAUUCUAAAUGGGUGGUUGUGUUAAAAUCUGGCUUAGAGCAGAGCAGGGGUGAGCACAAGGAGGAAUGCAGGAAAGAGUAGCGCUCCAGUUGGCUCAAAUCUGACCACAGAUUACUUAGUGCUUAG
This is a long non-coding RNA of Cyprinus carpio (common carp), 719 nucleotides long. Lineage: Eukaryota; Metazoa; Chordata; Actinopteri; Cypriniformes; Cyprinidae. The record is from Ensembl.